GGGGCGAUGCCCGAGCCGGUGCCGCCGCCCCCGCGCCGCGCAGCCCCGGCCGCCAGGCCUUAGCCCGCCCCGGCCCCCGCCAGGCCGCGUCCCCCUCCCCUCCCCUCCCCCGCGCGCCACCCGCGCCCGCCCCCGCCCGGCACCGCGGACCCACCCGGACCUCGGCGGGGAGAUGGAGGUCCUGGCGGCAGAGACCACGUCCCAGCAGGAGCGGCUGCAGGCCAUCGCAGAGAAGCGGAAGCGGCAGGCGGAGAUCGAGAACAAGCGCCGGCAGCUGGAGGACGAGCGGAGGCAGCUGCAGCACCUGAAGGUACGAGCGGGGCAGGGACCCAGGGUCAGGGAGUGCAGGCGGCUGUGAGGCGGAGGCCCCGGACUCCUGCCCAACCCUGACCCUGACCCCAAUCCCAACCUGACCCUGACCCUGCCUCCAGCCCUGACCCUGACCCCGACCCUGACCCCGACCCCGACCCCGACCCUGACCCCAACCUGACCCCGACCCUGACCCCAACCUGACCCUGACCCCGACCCUGACCCUGAUCUCAGUCCUGACUCUGACCCUGACCUGACCCCAACCUCAAUCCUGACCCUGACCUUGACUCUGACCCAGACCCU
This 612-nucleotide long non-coding RNA is filed under the name Homo sapiens (human). RNAcentral describes it as "long non-coding RNA NONHSAT060162.2". Lineage: Eukaryota; Metazoa; Chordata; Mammalia; Primates; Hominidae. The record is from RNAcentral.